GCAAGUCGAACGCUUCUUUCCUCCCGAGUGCUUGCACUCAAUUGGAAAGAGGAGUGGCGGACGGGUGAGUAACACGUGGGUAACCUACCCAUCAGAGGGGGAUAACACUUGGAAACAGGUGCUAAUACCGCAUAACAGUUUAUGCCGCAUGGCAUAAGAGUGAAAGGCGCUUUCGGGUGUCGCUGAUGGAUGGACCCGCGGUGCAUUAGCUAGUUGGUGAGGUAACGGCUCACCAAGGCCACGAUGCAUAGCCGACCUGAGAGGGUGAUCGGCCACACUGGGACUGAGACACGGCCCAGACUCCUACGGGAGGCAGCAGUAGGGAAUCUUCGGCAAUGGACGAAAGUCUGACCGAGCAACGCCGCGUGAGUGAAGAAGGUUUUCGGAUCGUAAAACUCUGUUGUUAGAGAAGAACAAGGACGUUAGUAACUGAACGUCCCCUGACGGUAUCUAACCAGAAAGCCACGGCUAACUACGUGCCAGCAGCCGCGGUAAUACGUAGGUGGCAAGCGUUGUCCGGAUUUAUUGGGCGUAAAGCGAGCGCAGGCGGUUUCUUAAGUCUGAUGUGAAAGCCCCCGGCUCAACCGGGGAGGGUCAUUGGAAACUGGGAGACUUGAGUGCAGAAGAGGAGAGUGGAAUUCCAUGUGUAGCGGUGAAAUGCGUAGAUAUAUGGAGGAACACCAGUGGCGAAGGCGGCUCUCUGGUCUGUAACUGACGCUGAGGCUCGAAAGCGUGGGGAGCAAACAGGAUUAGAUACCCUGGUAGUCCACGCCGUAAACGAUGAGUGCUAAGUGUUGGAGGGUUUCCGCCCUUCAGUGCUGCAGCAAACGCAUUAAGCACUCCGCCUGGGGAGUACGACCGCAAGGUUGAAACUCAAAGGAAUUGACGGGGGCCCG
Molecule: ribosomal RNA, 896 nt
Filed under: Enterococcus faecalis
Lineage: Bacteria; Bacillati; Bacillota; Bacilli; Lactobacillales; Enterococcaceae
Description: bacterial SSU rRNA
Rfam family: Bacterial small subunit ribosomal RNA
Source: RNAcentral